Long non-coding RNA from Lates calcarifer (barramundi perch), 1222 nucleotides. RefSeq lists it as uncharacterized. NCBI's taxonomy places the organism in Eukaryota, Metazoa, Chordata, Actinopteri, Centropomidae. The transcript is spliced from 4 exons. The record is from RefSeq and is a predicted model, not a curated record.
UUAGCAGCAGGGUGCUAGGGAUGGCAAUGAAUGUUGGUCAACUACUAGAUGGACUGCCAUGGUAUUUUGUGCAGUCACCAGCCACUCAAAGCUUAAGGGGAUCAGAGGGGCUCCAUAUUCAUGGCAAGAGACUUACGCAACACACAGCAAAGGAUCAGUGUGAAGGAAAGAGUGUGUGUAUGUGUGUGUGUGUGUGUGUGUGUGUGUGUGUGUGUGUGUGUGAGAGAGUGUGUUGCUGCCAGCACCUGUAUGUCUGAGGCUGUGCAGUCAUUACACCUGAACCAUGCAAACACCUGUCGUAUUAGUAUGGUUAUGUGUCCGCUCAUUCAUCUCAGAUGUGUGUUUUUCCUGUGUGUUUGUGUGUUACCAUGUUUAUAUCUGCAGGACAUGUCUGUGCUCAGUGAUGCAGUGAUGAUGUUCAUCAGAGCACGCAUGGCGUCCUGCCCAUUUACAGCAGCUGUCUCCUGCUGCGUGACAGACUGGACUCAGCGCUGCUAAGAAAUCAAUCCUCAGAUCCUUGGUGAUUGCAAAUGAAACGCGGCUCCCAUUUGUCUCCGCAUCCAGCUUAAGGCACACACACCUGGGAGCUGCACAGAACAACAGACUGAUGGAGGAAGAAAGAACAUGAGGAGGGGGGAAAGGUGGGUGGCAGUUAAGAGGGACAAUACACUGUGUUUUCACAUGGUAAUAUGAAGAAGGAAGCUUAAGACUGCUUACCUAGAGGUUGCCAUUUUGUAGUUACGUUAAAAGUUUUACAAAUAAGCAUUCCAUAUAUAAGCAUCUAAUCUGCUGCCCCUACAGAUAAUGCAUGGUUUGGCUUAAACAACUAAAACAGUUCAGGUAGGAUCAGCCAUCCUCCACCUCUACCUCCUCACAGUGAUGUUGUCUUCAACAUAACUGGAAAAAAUCUAACUCUCAAGUUCAUGACUUGUAAUGUGCACUGACAUUUUUUAAUGCUGCCUUCCAUAACCCUCCAGCUAUAUGAGACAUGAUACAGUAUAGACCUGUUUUUAGGUGAUGUCAGAAAUGCAGUAUUAUAAUUACAAAAUACAAUGACCCAACAGAGUAAAAGACAAUGUAUAGCCCAGAAUUUGCAAGUUAGAAGUUGCGUCAAUUGAAUCCUAUUCUCAAAGAGGGGAGGAAUAAUAUGCAAAACACCAGAGAAGACUUUAACCCUAACUAUUAAAUGUGAAAUAUGUGUAAAUAUAAGUACAAGGCUAAG